GGCAUGUGCAGGCAGUGUGCAGUACAUAUGAGUAUAUGCAGAGUGCAAGUAUGGGAGACUAUGAUCUAGGGAGACUAUGAUGUAGGGGGGCUAUAAUCCAACGGGGGUCAUUUUUUGUGCAGCUUUGUGCAGCUUUCUCUCAGCAUCAGUUUGAGAGGAGGCUGCAAACAAAUGAAAAAAAGAAAAGCAUGUAGCAUUUAAGGACUAAUAAUUACAGCAUUGUA
Molecule: non-coding RNA, 224 nt
Organism: Pelobates cultripes (western spadefoot toad)
Lineage: Eukaryota; Metazoa; Chordata; Amphibia; Anura; Pelobatidae
Source: the annotation of a GenBank genome assembly